ACUCCUACGGGAGGCAGCAGUGGGGAAUAUUGCACAAUGGGCGCAAGCCUGAUGCAGCCAUGCCGCGUGUGUGAAGAAGGCCUUCGGGUUGUAAAGCACUUUCAGCAGUGAGGAAGGCGGAGUCGUUAAUAGCGGCCUCGUUUGACGUUAGCUGCAGAAGAAGCACCGGCUAACUCCGUGCCAGCAGCCGCGGUAAUACGGAGGGUGCGAGCGUUAAUCGGAAUUACUGGGCGUAAAGCGCAUGCAGGUGGUUUGUUAAGUCAGAUGUGAAAGCCCGGGGCUCAACCUCGGAAUAGCAUUUGAAACUGGCAGACUAGAGUACUGUAGAGGGGGUAGAAUUUCAGGUGUAGCGGUGAAAUGCGUAGAGAUCUGAAGGAAUACCGGUGGCGAAGGCGGCCCCUGGACAGAUACUGACACUCAGAUGCGAAAGCGUGGGAGCAAACGAGGAUUAGAUACCCCGUGGUAGCGACUGA
RNAcentral lists this ribosomal RNA (473 nucleotides) under uncultured bacterium. RNAcentral describes it as "bacterial SSU rRNA". It matches the Rfam family "Bacterial small subunit ribosomal RNA", at positions 335 to 803 of the family's 1533-position model. The record is from RNAcentral.